Molecule: ribosomal RNA, 1343 nt
Filed under: uncultured bacterium
Lineage: Bacteria
Description: 16S ribosomal RNA
Rfam family: Bacterial small subunit ribosomal RNA
Source: RNAcentral
GACGAACGCUGGCGGCGUGCUUAACACAUGCAAGUCGAACGGAAAGGCCCUGCUUUUGUGGGGUGCUCGAGUGGCGAACGGGUGAGUAACACGUGAGUAACCUGCCCUUGACUUUGGGAUAACUUCAGGAAACUGGGGCUAAUACCGGAUAGGAGCUCCUGCUGCAUGGCGGGGGUUGGAAAGUUUCGGCGGUUGGGGAUGGACUCGCGGCUUAUCAGCUUGUUGGUGGGGUAGUGGCUUACCAAGGCUUUGACGGGUAGCCGGCCUGAGAGGGUGACCGGCCACAUUGGGACUGAGAUACGGCCCAGACUCCUACGGGAGGCAGCAGUGGGGAAUAUUGCACAAUGGGCGGAAGCCUGAUGCAGCAACGCCGCGUGCGGGAUGACGGCCUUCGGGUUGUAAACCGCUUUCGCCUGUGACGAAGCGUGAGUGACGGUAAUGGGUAAAGAAGCACCGGCUAACUACGUGCCAGCAGCCGCGGUGAUACGUAGGGUGCGAGCGUUGUCCGGAUUUAUUGGGCGUAAAGGGCUCGUAGGUGGUUGAUCGCGUCGGAAGUGUAAUCUUGGGGCUUAACCCUGAGCGUGCUUUCGAUACGGGUUGACUUGAGGAAGGUAGGGGAGAAUGGAAUUCCUGGUGGAGCGGUGGAAUGCGCAGAUAUCAGGAGGAACACCAGUGGCGAAGGCGGUUCUCUGGGCCUUUCCUGACGCUGAGGAGCGAAAGCGUGGGGAGCGAACAGGCUUAGAUACCCUGGUAGUCCACGCUGUAAACGGUGGGUACUAGGUGUGGGGUCCAUUCCACGGGUUCCGUGCCGUAGCUAACGCUUUAAGUACCCCGCCUGGGGAGUACGGCCGCAAGGCUAAAACUCAAAGGAAUUGACGGGGCCCCGCACAAGCGGCGGAGCAUGCGGAUUAAUUCGAUGCAACGCGUAGAACCUUACCUGGGUUUGACAUGGAUCGGGAGUGCUCAGAGAUGGGUGUGCCUCUUUUGGGGUCGGUUCACAGGUGGUGCAUGGCUGUCGUCAGCUCGUGUCGUGAGAUGUUGGGUUAAGUCCCGCAACGAGCGCAACCCUUGUUCACUGUUGCCAGCACGUUAUGGUGGGGACUCAGUGGAGACCGCCGGGGUCAACUCGGAGGAAGGUGGGGAUGACGUCAAGUCAUCAUGCCCCUUAUGUCCAGGGCUUCACGCAUGCUACAAUGGCUGGUACAGAGAGUGGCGAGCCUGUGAGGGUGAGCGAAUCUCGGAAAGCCGGUCUCAGUUCGGAUUGGGGUCUGCAACUCGACCUCAUGAAGUCGGAGUCGCUAGUAAUCGCAGAUCAGCAACGCUGCGGUGAAUACGUUCCCGGG